RNA transcript from Eleginops maclovinus (Patagonian blennie), 2499 nucleotides. It is a transcript of the gene named serine and arginine rich splicing factor 2b, with no coding region annotated. The transcript has 4 exons. NCBI's taxonomy places the organism in Eukaryota, Metazoa, Chordata, Actinopteri, Perciformes, Eleginopidae. The record is from RefSeq and is a predicted model, not a curated record.
AGUAGAACAAGAAGUUCACUUCACGCACUGGUUCGGGGCAGUUGUUGAACGCGAGGCAGACGGAGUUGUGCGGUAAGAAGUCGCUUAUUUUGCGAUUGAUCAGCCCCAAAUACACAACAGGUGAGGGGAAUCCAUUUAAAAUAACACCAAGUGUGAGUGUGUGCGGACUUUAACGAACAGGUAGGCUCUUUCGUAGCCGAGAAAUCAAGUGUUUUGAGGAAGGCUGCUAGGCCUCGCAGGCUAAUCACCAUGAGUUACGGUAGGCCUCCACCAGACGUCGACGGCAUGACUUCCCUAAAAGUGGACAACUUAACGUACCGAACAUCUCCAGAAACCCUCCGACGGGUGUUCGAAAAGUACGGCCGCGUGGGGGACGUUUACAUCCCCCGAGAUCGAUACACGAAAGAAAGCCGCGGUUUCGCAUUUGUGCGUUUCCACGACAAACGUGACGCCGAAGACGCAAUGGACGCCAUGGACGGCGCGCUCCUUGAUGGACGAGAGCUGCGAGUCCAGAUGGCCCGGUACGGAAGACCACCCGACUCUCAUUACGGUGGAAGCGGCGGUGGUGGUGGCCGCGACGGCGGCGGUGGUGGUGGCCGUGACGGCGGCGGUGGUGGAGGAAGCCGACGAGGAGGUGGUGGUCCUACCAGGAGAUACGGUGGACGCCGAAGCAGAAGCUCCUCUCCCAGCCCGAGACACAAGAGACGCAGCCGGUCCCGCAGCAGGAGCCGCUCUCGCUCCCGAAGCCGAUCCCGCUACAGCAGAUCAAGGUCCCGCUCCUACUCCCGGUCAAAGUCUCACUCUCCCAGGAACAAGAAGGCCAAGGCCCCCUCUCGUUCUAGAUCCAGGUCCCGAUCCAAGUCUAAGUCCAAGUCUAAGUCUAAGUCCAAAUCCAAGUCUAAGUCCAAAUCCAAGUCCAGGUCCAGAAGCCGCACCCCUUCCAGAGGGUCCAGGUCGAGAUCUAAAAGCCAGCCCAAGUCCGCAGCAGAGAAUGGAGGCGAAACCCCGUGAAGCUCCACAUCAGCUGCGGCAUCCUGUUUGCUAAAGUGGAGUUUUUGCUGAGCUGAGGCAGUAUGAGCAGUUAGCAGGUAUGUGGUGAGCUGCUGCCCACAGGCCUCUGCUGCUGCGGCUGCUGGUGAGGGUUUCUGUGCAGCAGGGUGUUGGAGGCAGGCAGAGUUGGGGUUUGGUGUAAAGUUUUCAGGUGGCGACUCACAGCUUCACGUCACAGACUGGAUCCAACCCAAGCAACAGUGUGCCGCUGUAAAAGGUUAUUAUUGUGUCUUCCAUGUUUUGUUUCUUUUCUUAAUUUUGCCACAAAAAAGGCUCUGUCACUUCAUCGAUGUGCCGUGAUUGUUUUUAUUUUUCAUAACGAUUUUAAAAAAUAUGGUUCACUGUGGAGAGGAAACACUGUUCUGACCUUGUUUUGUGAAGAUGACCCAUAAAAACAAGUACACUUUGUACCUCUUCUGUACGCUGUUCUCACCACGGGCCUGUGUCAGGAAGAGAGAACAUAGUCUGAAUUUCUUUCAAUUUUUUGCCUUUGUUUAAUCUUACUUGCAGCAGAGAUAUUUAGUCACCAACUGUCUAAAUACAGCUAUAUACUAUACUUGUGAGUUUUUUCCUGGCAAACGCUGUUUCUAUUUGAUAAAAAUGAAAAGGGAAACACUUCUACAGCUGCAAGUGACACUUUUUUUCCAUUAUCAAUAAGUAUGUUGACCAUUUUCUCAGUUUAUUCAACAUUUUGCUAACUCAAAAAAUUAACUACUUCUCCCCCGUAUUUAUGUAGAUGGCCCUUUUCAACAUUCUGUGGACAUUUUAGUAUUCGCUUUAAAAAUAAAAAAAAAUCCUAAAAUCAACAUGUGAAUUUUGUACACAGGCCCGUGGUGUCCAAUUACAUCUAAAGAAGCAUUUCUUAAAUUUGAAUUAAAAGGAUAACAAAAUGUACACCAACUGUUAGACUUUGCUUUUUAUCAUUUUCAUUUCAGUGCAAACUGUGAAUUAAAGUGAAGUUAUCCCUAAAAAAACAAAAAAACAUGACAUACUUAUUUCCGCAGCUCAGGGCGUAUUUGUUGGACAGGACAGCAGACCAUUUUAACUCCUGUGAUAAAUGUGUUAAAUGUAUUUGCAUAAACAGUAAAACGAGACCGGGGUUGAUGCAUCAGUUUGAAGAUUGUUUCACAGAUUUCAAGGUCCUUCAAUAUUUUGUCACCAGGGCAUCAUUUACUAGAGACAGUGUCUUUGUGGGUUACUUCUCUUUAUUUUUUUUAAUGCUAAUACUGCUUGUAUGUUUGUUUUGUGCACUAGGCGCAGUUGUGUAGCCGUUGAGUAUUGCUGGUUAGCUGUAAAGGUGGCGUGUUGCUCUGCGGAGUGCUCCUGUGACUACCAGUGGUGCAGUGCUACAGUCUCACCCUUGUAAGAUGACAUGUUCUUUUUUUUUUCUCCGUAUGGUCAUGGAUGAUAAAUGUGACUUUCAUUAAAAAUUUGGUGUUUUGUCUAAAA